RNAcentral lists this ribosomal RNA (497 nucleotides) under uncultured bacterium. RNAcentral's name for it is "partial 16S ribosomal RNA". It matches the Rfam family "Bacterial small subunit ribosomal RNA", at positions 28 to 507 of the family's 1533-position model. The record is from RNAcentral.
GAUGAACGCUGGCGGCGUGCCUAAUACAUGCAAGUCGAGCGAACAGACGAGGAGCUUGCUCCUCUGACGUUAGCGGCGGACGGGUGAGUAACACGUGGAUAACCUACCUAUAAGACUGGGAUAACUUCGGGAAACCGUAGCUAAUACCGGAUAAUAUAUUGAACCGCAUGGUUCAAUAGUGAAAGACGGUUUUGCUGUCACUUAUAGAUGGAUCCGCGCCGCAUUAGCUAGUUGGUAAGGUAACGGCUUACCAAGGCAACGAUGCGUAGCCGACCUGAGAGGGUGAUCGGCCACACUGGAACUGAGACACGGGCCAGACUCCUACGGGAGGCAGCAGUAGGGAAUCUUCCGCAAUGGGAGAAAGCUUGACGGAGCAACGCCGCGUGAGUGAUGAAGGUCUUCGGAUCGUAAAACUCUGUUAUUAGGGAAGAACAAAUGUGUAAGUAACUAUGCACGUCUUGACGGUACCUAAUCAGAAAGCCCCGGCUAACUACGUG